GACGAACGCUGGCGGCGUGCUUAACACAUGCAAGUCGAACGGAAAGGCCCUGCUCUUGUGGGGUGCUCGAGUGGCGAACGGGUGAGUAACACGUGAGUAACCUGCCCUUGACUUUGGGAUAACUUCAGGAAACUGGGGCUAAUACCGGAUAGGAGCUCCUGCUGCAUGGUGGGGGUUGGAAAGUUUCGGCGGUUGGGGAUGGACUCGCGGCUUAUCAGCUUGUUGGUGGGGUAGUGGCUUACCAAGGCUUUGACGGGUAGCCGGCCUGAGAGGGUGACCGGCCACAUUGGGACUGAGAUACGGCCCAGACUCCUACGGGAGGCAGCAGUGGGGAAUAUUGCGCAAUGGGCGGAAGCCUGAUGCAGCAACGCCGCGUGCGGGAUGACGGCCUUCGGGUUAUAAACCGCUUUCGCCUGUGACGAAGCGUGAGUGACGGUAAUGGGUAAAGAAGCACCGGCUAACUACGUG
This 468-nucleotide ribosomal RNA is filed under the name uncultured bacterium. RNAcentral's name for it is "partial 16S ribosomal RNA". It matches the Rfam family "Bacterial small subunit ribosomal RNA", at positions 28 to 507 of the family's 1533-position model. The record is from RNAcentral.